This 465-nucleotide ribosomal RNA is filed under the name uncultured bacterium. RNAcentral's name for it is "partial 16S ribosomal RNA". It matches the Rfam family "Bacterial small subunit ribosomal RNA", at positions 28 to 507 of the family's 1533-position model. The record is from RNAcentral.
GACGGACGCUGGCGGCGUGCUUAACACAUGCAAGUCGAACGGAAAGGCCCCAGCUUGCUGGGGUACUCGAGUGGCGAACGGGUGAGUAACACGUGGGUGAUCUGCCCUGCACUCUGGGAUAAGCCUGGGAAACUGGGUCUAAUACCGGAUAGGACCGUGCUUUAGUGUGUGCGGUGGAAAGUUUUUCGGUGCAGGAUGAGCCCGCGGCCUAUCAGCUUGUUGGUGGGGUAAUGGCCUACCAAGGCGGCGACGGGUAGCCGGCCUGAGAGGGUGUACGGCCACAUUGGGACUGAGACACGGCCCUGACUCCUACGGGAGGCAGCAGUGGGGAAUAUUGCACAAUGGGCGCAAGCCUGAUGCAGCGACGCCGCGUGGGGGAUGACGGCCUUCGGGUUGUAAACCCCUUUCGGCAGGGACGAAGCUUUUGUGACGGUACCUGCAUAAGAAGCACCGGCUAACUACGUG